CAGCAUGGCCAGUUCCAACGUAUUUGGCUUGGAGAUGUUCGAGUUGGGAAUUGAUGUUAAACCUAUCGCUUGCCUGACAACAUUAAUUAAAGAGUGAGGGACAAAAAUAAAACCAAAUUUACGGUUUAGGUGGUUAGGGAAUUAGAAUCUG
Hibiscus syriacus is the source of this 151-nucleotide long non-coding RNA. RefSeq lists it as uncharacterized. The record is from RefSeq and is a predicted model, not a curated record. NCBI's taxonomy places the organism in Eukaryota, Viridiplantae, Streptophyta, Magnoliopsida, Malvales, Malvaceae. The transcript has 3 exons.